GGUGACGUGCGUGCAUGCAGCGUCGGUAAGGCUUGUGUGGCGAGCGUUGUCCUGGUUUAUUGGGCGCAAAGCGAGGCCAGGCGGGUCCUGAAGUCUGAUGGGAAAGCCCCCGGCGCAGCCGGGGAGGGUCAUUGGAAACUGGGGAACUUGAGUGCAGAAGAGGAGAGUGGAAUUCCAUGUGUAGCGGUGAAAUGCGUAGAUAUAUGGAGGAACACCAGUGGCGAAGGCGACUCUCUGGUCUGUAACUGACGCUGAGGCUCGAAAGCGUGGGUAGCAAACAGGAUUAGAUCCCCUGUAGUC
This 300-nucleotide ribosomal RNA is filed under the name uncultured Lactobacillus sp. RNAcentral describes it as "bacterial SSU rRNA". It matches the Rfam family "Bacterial small subunit ribosomal RNA", at positions 495 to 795 of the family's 1533-position model. Lineage: Bacteria; Bacillati; Bacillota; Bacilli; Lactobacillales; Lactobacillaceae. The record is from RNAcentral.